AUACUGUCUGGGACUGCGACUUCAGGACGGGCAAGAUCGGCUGGUUCCUGGGAGGCCAGUUGAAUGUGUCUGUCAACUGCCUGGACCAGCACGUGCAGAAGUCUCCCGACACCAUAGCUUUGAUUUGGGAGAGAGAUGAACCUGGGACAGAAGUGAGGAUCACUUACAGGUACUGUGCGUCACCUGGAAUUCUCAGCACCCAAAACACAUCCUGGACGUUUCUGCAGUUUGGGUUUGGGGAAGGAACAUGGCCUCUUUGUGACCAUUAACAUACUUUCCAGUCUGGAA
RNAcentral lists this long non-coding RNA (288 nucleotides) under Rattus norvegicus (Norway rat). RNAcentral describes it as "long non-coding RNA NONRATT019791". The record is from RNAcentral. Lineage: Eukaryota; Metazoa; Chordata; Mammalia; Rodentia; Muridae.